UACGUAGGGGGCAAGCGUUGUCCGGAUUUAUUGGGCGUAAAGAGCGUGUAGGCGGUUUGGUAGGUCCGCUGUGAAACUCGAGGCUCAACCUCGAGACGCCGAUGGAAACCAUGUGGCUAGAGUCCGGAAGAGGAGAGUGGAAUUCCUGGUGUAGCGGUGAAUGCGCAGAUAUCAGGAGGAACACCGAUGGCGAAGGCAGGUCUCUGGGCCACUACUGACGCUGAGAAGCGAAAGCAUGGGAGCGAACAGG
This 250-nucleotide ribosomal RNA is filed under the name uncultured bacterium. Its description in RNAcentral is "partial 16S ribosomal RNA". It matches the Rfam family "Bacterial small subunit ribosomal RNA", at positions 524 to 776 of the family's 1533-position model. The record is from RNAcentral.